This is a long non-coding RNA of Corvus hawaiiensis (hawaiian crow), 824 nucleotides long. RefSeq lists it as uncharacterized. The record is from RefSeq and is a predicted model, not a curated record. Lineage: Eukaryota; Metazoa; Chordata; Aves; Passeriformes; Corvidae. The transcript is spliced from 4 exons.
GUCCCUCUGAUAAGCAAGUUUAUAGCUCCAAGAGGCAGCAGUGGCUUUAGGAAAAACUGAGCAUGAAAGUGGGUUCUCCUGUGGGUGGAGAAGGACACCGCCCUGAUCAGUUCUGGCUGUCUUCUUCUGCAAGCAAUAAUGCACAUUCUUCCUGGGCCUCUGAAUCAGAGCCUUUUACUGCCUGGAGUUAUGUGUUCAUGCACUGUAAUUGAAUCCGCUGUCUAAGAGGAUGGUUCUCCAGGUACCUUCCUAUCAGCACCUUCUCCAGCUCUUUUUGAAGCCAUGGACACCAGGACAUGGAUGCUGUCUCUUAGUUCCAGACCUGUCAGCUUACAGCAGACUCCAGGGAACUCCAGUGUGUUGACACAACUUGCAAAGGAUGACACGGAGUUGCCCAUUGUGACUUUGCACUGGGGACAGGGGAAUGAAAUGGAGCAAGUCUUACCCUCAAGGGCCUGGAGAGCAAAGACACUUGAGAGGCACCUGAGUGCUAUUGGUGGUAUGAAGGGCAAGAGGACAUGGGAACUCUGGUACUUGUCCCCCAAAGGGCUUUAUAGCAUGCCAAUUCCCAUGAAGGAGGACAGCUUCUGGUACAGGUUGAUGAGUAAUAUUUUUCCUACUGCUGCUGAAGCCGCUGGAAAAAUCUGGUUGAUCCAGGAUGUCACGUCAGAACCUAAUUCCCAUUUCUACUAACACCCCCACACUUGUGUUCAGUGCUUAAUAAAAGGGCCUGGCAGCCCGGUGAGAUAAUAGAAGAUAAAGCAAAUUGUACGACAAUGGAAAAUGCUGAGCUCCCCAAGUAAUUAAAGGUUGUGUAAGACAGU